CUUAAGCCAAGGACAGGAAUGAAUGGUUUUUCCACUCUUUCUCUGACUGCAUAUAUGGGCAUUUACUGUUACUGGGAAGAACGACUGUGAUCCUGCCACCUUCUAAAUGAAUCUUCUUAUCCAUAAUACACAAAGAUUUACCAACAUGAAGGAGUACAUCUUCAAGUUCAGUGGCCUGAUUUCCAGUACAUCAGCUUUGGUAUUUGAAAUCAUCCUUGCAAACAGCCAAUGCUGGCGCCUGUGGGAGUUUAACAACAAGCUUGUGCAAUUUGUGUCAAUUGGACUCUGGGAAACUUAAUACACUCAGGACUUUAACAUCUCUGGGUCUAUGACCAGGAUGUUGGU
Molecule: non-coding RNA, 345 nt
Organism: Peromyscus maniculatus bairdii (prairie deer mouse)
Lineage: Eukaryota; Metazoa; Chordata; Mammalia; Rodentia; Cricetidae
Source: RefSeq, a predicted model, not a curated record